GGUAAUGAUGGCAGAGAGGUCACACCCGUUCCCAUACCGAACACGGAAGUUAAGCUCUCUAGCGCCGAUGGUAGUUGGGACCUUGUCCCUGUGAGAGUAGGACGUUGCC
Molecule: ribosomal RNA, 109 nt
Filed under: Bacillus anthracis (anthrax bacterium)
Lineage: Bacteria; Bacillati; Bacillota; Bacilli; Caryophanales; Bacillaceae
Also listed under: 15 other names
Source: RNAcentral